ACAAUAAAUUACUUUAUACUUGUCUGCAUGUGCAUAUAAGUAUACACAUAUAUUGUAUGUAUAUCUUUUUAGGGUUAGAGCAUACUGUAUUGUUAAGCUAAAUCGGUGGCAUCGGGUUAACAUCACCGCGAGUUGUACUUCUUGCAAUACCAGUUUUCCAAGUAGUUGUUUAUUGUAGUUUAAGUUUUUGGGUUUGUAAUUUGAUUUGCUCCUGACGCGUGUUUCUUUACAUGUCCCACCACUGCUUUGGAUUCCAUUAGAUAGAGGGACAGAGAGAUGCAUAGGCAUGUGAGAUAUGCCUCACGGCUGACGGUGGUGGUUGUUGUGAAGCUAGCGGCGGCGACGGGUUUGCCUUACAUGUUUUCAGUAUAAUAUUGCUGGCGAUUCAGUCUAGAAACUGGUUACGUACUGGGUUGCGACUACGAAAAUAAGAAAAGAUGAUUCCGGUCGGAGACUGUGCUACGAAGGGAUCUAAAAAGGGCCUGAGGGUAUGCAUAAAAGAAGACGAUAAUUUCAAUGGUUCGUUACAAUUUCAUUGAUUUCAGGGAAGGUUACUUUUAGGAUCCACCAUUGGAGUGGUUAUAGCUGGAAGGGCUUAUGCCAACACCGUUGAUGAAGCGACUUUCGAGUACUUAAUUUGAUGAUUUUUUGUAAUGAGUUGAUUGUUAGAUAAUAUGACAUGAUUUGGUCUAUUUUUUUAAAAAUGAUAGAUUUUG
RNAcentral lists this long non-coding RNA (716 nucleotides) under Helianthus annuus (common sunflower). RNAcentral describes it as "hypothetical non coding rna". Lineage: Eukaryota; Viridiplantae; Streptophyta; Magnoliopsida; Asterales; Asteraceae. The record is from RNAcentral.